Long non-coding RNA from Sarcophilus harrisii (Tasmanian devil), 431 nucleotides. RefSeq lists it as uncharacterized. NCBI's taxonomy places the organism in Eukaryota, Metazoa, Chordata, Mammalia, Dasyuromorphia, Dasyuridae. The transcript is spliced from 3 exons. The record is from RefSeq and is a predicted model, not a curated record.
UAGAGGAAGUAUAGCUUCAGGGAUUUCUCAGGGAAACCAGGGAAGUAAAGGUGGGAACUCGGAGGGAAGGAUCAAGGAGUUAGAUGGAAUGUACCUGGGUCAUCUGAGUCCAGUGGCAAGAAAUAUAUCGGGAAGACCAGUGAUGGCCCCAGAUGAAGUGGGGAGACCUUGGAUAAAUCACCAGCACCCUGAGCAAAAGAAAACUUUAAGAGGAUCCUUUUUGCUCUGACUUCUAAUCCCAUGAAACUUGGUGGAGUUCUGAGUAUUUAUUCAAGGGUCCAGGAUCAAUUCAACCCUGAUGGUCCCCGUUUAACAAGGCCAGGUGGAGAGCAAGAGGAAAAAACAAAACAAAACAAAAAGCAACCUCUUCCUUCUCAGGGGAUUUACAAAUUCAACAAGCCUGAAGUUAACCAGCUCCAUCGUGAAAUUAA